Molecule: ribosomal RNA, 376 nt
Filed under: uncultured Gammaproteobacteria bacterium
Lineage: Bacteria; Pseudomonadati; Pseudomonadota; Gammaproteobacteria
Description: bacterial SSU rRNA
Rfam family: Bacterial small subunit ribosomal RNA
Source: RNAcentral
UAAUACGGAGGGUGCAAGCGUUAAUCGGAAUUACUGGGCGUAAAGCGCGCGUAGGCGGUUUGUUAAGUCGGAUGUGAAAGCCCUGGGCUCAACCUGGGAACUGCAUCCGAUACUGGCAGGCUAGAGUACGGUAGAGGGGGGUAGAAUUCCACGUGUAGCGGUGAAAUGCGUAGAGAUGUGGAGGAAUACCAGUGGCGAAGGCGGCCCCCUGGACUGAUACUGACGCUAAGGUGCGAAAGCGUGGGGAGCAAACAGGAUUAGAUACCCUGGUAGUCCACGCUGUAAACGAUGUCAACUAGCCGUUGGAAGGGUAAUCCUUUUAGUGGCGUAGCUAACGCGCUAAGUUGACCGCCUGGGGAGUACGGUCGCAAGAUUA